RNAcentral lists this ribosomal RNA (1488 nucleotides) under metagenome. RNAcentral describes it as "bacterial SSU rRNA". It matches the Rfam family "Bacterial small subunit ribosomal RNA". The record is from RNAcentral.
AGAGUUUGAUCCUGGCUCAGGAUGAACGCUAGCUACAGGCUUAACACAUGCAAGUCGAGGGGCAGCAUGGUCUUAGCUUGCUAAGGCCGAUGGCGACCGGCGCACGGGUGAGUAACGCGUAUCCAACCUGCCUUACACUCUUGGACAGCCUUCUGAAAGGGAGAUUAAUACAAGAUGUUAUCAUGAGUAAGCAUUUUCGCAUGAUUAAAGGUUUACCGGUGUAAGAUGGGGAUGCGUUCCAUUAGAUAGUAGGCGGGGUAACGGCCCACCUAGUCUUCGAUGGAUAGGGGUUCUGAGAGGAAGGUCCCCCACAUUGGAACUGAGACACGGUCCAAACUCCUACGGGAGGCAGCAGUGAGGAAUAUUGGUCAAUGGACGAGAGUCUGAACCAGCCAAGUAGCGUGAAGGAUGAAGGUUCUAUGGAUUGUAAACUUCUUUUAUACGGGAAUAAACGGAUCCACGUGUGGAUUUUUGCAUGUACCGUAUGAAUAAGGAUCGGCUAACUCCGUGCCAGCAGCCGCGGUAAUACGGAGGAUCCGAGCGUUAUCCGGAUUUAUUGGGUUUAAAGGGAGCGUAGAUGGGUUGUUAAGUCAGUUGUGAAAGUUUGCGGCUCAACCGUAAAAUUGCAAUUGAUACUGGCAGUCUUGAGUACAGUUGAGGUAGGCGGAAUUCGUGGUGUAGCGGUGAAAUGCUUAGAUAUCACGAAGAACUCCGAUUGCGAAGGCAGCUUACUAACCUGUAACUGACAUUGAUGCUCGAAAGUGUGGGUAUCAAACAGGAUUAGAUACCCUGGUAGUCCACACGGUAAACGAUGAAUACUCGCUGUAGGCGAUAUACAGUCUGCGGCCAAGCGAAAGCAUUAAGUAUUCCACCUGGGGAGUACGCCGGCAACGGUGAAACUCAAAGGAAUUGACGGGAGCCCGCACAAGCGGAGGAACAUGUGGUUUAAUUCGAUGAUACGCGAGGAACCUUACCCGGGCUUGAAUUGCAGAGGAAGGAUUUGGAGACAAUGACGCCCUUCGGGGUCUCUGUGAAGGUGCUGCAUGGUUGUCGUCAGCUCGUGCCGUGAGGUGUCGGCUUAAGUGCCAUAACGAGCGCAACCCCUCUCCUUAGUUGCCAUCAGGUUAAGCUGGGCACUCUGGGGACACUGCCACCGUAAGGUGUGAGGAAGGUGGGGAUGACGUCAAAUCAGCACGGCCCUUACGUCCGGGGCUACACACGUGUUACAAUGGCAGGUACAGAGAGACGGUUGUACGUAAGUACGAUCAAAUCCUUAAAGCCUGUCUCAGUUCGGACUGGGGUCUGCAACCCGACCCCACGAAGCUGGAUUCGCUAGUAAUCGCGCAUCAGCCAUGGCGCGGUGAAUACGUUCCCGGGCCUUGUACACACCGCCCGUCAAGCCAUGAAAGCCGGGGGCGCCUAAAGUCCGUGACCGUAAGGAGCGGCCUAGGGCGAAACUGGUAAUUGGGGCUAAGUCGUAACAAGGUA